UGAUAUUAUUUGGGAUAAAACAAAAACUAAUUUCAUCAAUAUAUAGUGUGUUGUUUGUAAGAAAUAACAAAAAUAUGGAUAAAAUUGAAUUAUCUGCAUAUCUAUUCAUUCACUGUGCUAUAUUGUAUGCAUAGAGAAAGAAUAAAGUGCGUGGGAGUAGAAGAUAGAUACAUCUCAUUAUAAAGUAUAAACCACCUAACACUACACAGUGAAGUGUACAAUUAUGAAGAUUGUGGAAGAAAAUUGGCUUUAUGUUUGGGUUUUUGUUACUUUCGGGAUGAUAAAGGUUGAAGACGCAUCACGCAUGUUUGAAGAGAAAUUGACGAAUAGAAGGAGCAGAUUGGGAAAAAUGAUACUGGGAGGAGUCUCAAAACUCAUAAGAUUAGCAUGAAGCUUCUUUCUUUCAUUCAUAAAAAAGGGGAUUAGCAACGAUGUGAAGGUGAGAAGCAAGGAAACAAAUUAAAGGCAUUGCAAUGGACUGGGUACUCU
Molecule: long non-coding RNA, 489 nt
Filed under: Arachis ipaensis
Lineage: Eukaryota; Viridiplantae; Streptophyta; Magnoliopsida; Fabales; Fabaceae
Description: long non-coding RNA (AIPA_LNC001295)
Source: RNAcentral